UUGGGUUUUCGAUUUAUAUAAAUGGUUCUUCGAUUCUGUCAUAUCUUCUUCAAAAGCAAAAACAAGAGUGGACACACUGAAAUGUCUCGUUUGUCUCGUGUUCAUAAUAUAAUUUAUGAUGAAAGUAUAAAAAACAUUGUAUACCCCAAGCAUUACAUUAUUGCUGUUUACAGUUUAUCUACAUCUAUAAUAAUAUUCAAGAUAAUAACCAAAAACAGCAAAAUUUCCAUAAAAUUACCAAUUCAGGGGCGGCAACCCAACAACGGAUUGUCCGAUU
RNAcentral lists this long non-coding RNA (277 nucleotides) under Mytilus galloprovincialis (Mediterranean mussel). Lineage: Eukaryota; Metazoa; Mollusca; Bivalvia; Mytilida; Mytilidae. The record is from RNAcentral.